RNAcentral lists this long non-coding RNA (19243 nucleotides) under Setaria viridis. RNAcentral describes it as "long non-coding RNA (SVIR_LNC005493)". Lineage: Eukaryota; Viridiplantae; Streptophyta; Magnoliopsida; Poales; Poaceae. The record is from RNAcentral.
UAGUACACUUUCCCAUCCAUGACGGACGUCUAGUUAGACUCGAGCUGCGCGUACCAGAUCCCCUGGAUCUUCACAUCCUUAGGUGCCUUGGCCCCAAGGUCGGUGUCCGACGGCUGCACACUCUCGAAGACACCGAUGACCUCGCCAGUUUCCGGGUUGCUCUUGGUGACGCUCAAUGUGAUGUUGCCCGUCGACGACGCAGCGUUCUUGAUGUUCUCCUUCACGAGCUCCUCCUCGUCUCCCCUGCCUCCGGCGGGGAGCGCGACGGCGUUGUCGUACCCGGUCGAACCACCACGGCCCUUGGGGUCGAGGAAGGAGGAGCCACGGUAGCUGGGCACAAGGAAGGGCCCGCCGAAGCUCUCGGGCUUGCCGGUGGCGACGAGCUGCUUGACGGUGAAGAGGAACGGCACGCGCUCGCCUCCUGGAAGCUGCACGGUGACGGCGGCGUAGUCGAUGCCGUCCUUCUCCUCGAACUUGAGGGUGCCGUCGGAGCCGACCUCGAGCGGGCCCUCGAUCUCGUCGAGGGUGUAGGUGAGGCGGGUCAUGAGCUUGGUCUUCUGGAACUCGGGCGGGGCGUUCUUGGCGAUGCCCUCGGCCUUGACGGUGAAGGACGUCGGCUCCAGGCAGAACUUCUUCAUCUGGUACUUGCCGGCCUUGAACGGGAAGGAGUCGACGCCGCCGUCGAUGGUCGGGCACUGGUUCGCCGUGCCCGUGCCCUUCACCUCCAUGUACGUCUUGCUCUGGAUCUCGUCGUAGGUCAGCCUCUUGGGCGUGCCCUCCGCGCUCGCGCCCUGUAACACGCACGCACACGUCAUCAAUUUGUCUCCCAAGUCCCAACUAUGAUAACAAAUCGGAUUCAGCCACGGUUGCUUACCGAGACGAGGAGCGCCGAUGUGGCGAGCGCGAAGCCGGCGAGCUUGGCGGCGUCGAUGCACUUGCUGGCGACCUCCCUGACGUCGGACUGCAGGGAGCACGAGAUCCUGCCCGCGCCGGCGUCGACGCCGAACGCCCUGGCGACGUGGGAGGCCUGGCGGGACGGCAGCGAGGCGGAGGCCCGGCCGCCGAUCUUGGCCGGCUGCAUUAGGGUGGCCGCGGCUUGGAGUGACGCUGCCAUGGUCGUCGUCGCUGCGCCUGCGCUGUCCUGCCUCUGGUGUGAGAUUGUGUGUCGCGAAAGGCGGGCGAGCGUUAUCUAUGCGCAGCUAAGCCAGCGCAGCGGAGGAUAAGAGGAGCGGAUAAGGCGUAGCCUCCCAUUGGCCGUUGGGGGUUCCGGGCUAUGGUGAUGCCGACGUGGAUGCACACCUGGCAUGGCCAGGUGCCACUCCUUCCUGGGCGUGUGGUGGCGGUGGCUAGUUUUGCUGUGGGGACUCGCACGGCAAGGAUCUCUAUCUGUGGUGGUGGUGGCUUCCGUUCCGUAUAUACGUAGUAAUUGGAUUCUUGAUGAUUAUUCUAAAGCACUGUGUUACAAUCACUGAUAGUAAAACACAUUUGCUUUCAUUAUUUAUUAGAACGGAACUAGCCGUCAUUUUUUAAUUUUAACCCUUUUAAAACUAAAAUUUUAUAAAUAACUCAUUCGAAUCUAUAUUUCCAAGAAGUAACCCUUUUGAUCACGCUGAGCUCCCGGCCACACCAUAUACAAUAGCGUGACUAAUAUAACACGGUGGCAUGGACAAAUAAUGAUGGUUGCAUGGCAUUGACGUGGUGAUGAUGUGGUGGAGCAAGUCACGUCAAGCCAUCUAUCGUAACCAGCUCCCGUUGUUACUGCUGCACUCAAAGUGCACAAAAAUGCAGCCCAUUUAUCCAUAUUUCAUCUUCCAUUCUAAUUAGAUAAUGAGCUCUUAAAUUUGUCAAACUCUAAAAUUAUAAAUCUAUGAAGUGUAUAAGUUCCAUUUUAAGUUCUUGUACUUCAAAACAUAGUGUGGAAAGCCAGAAAUUCAAUUUGUAAAUAUGCUAAAUGUUAUUGGUUGUAUACUUAUAUCUGAAGAGAUCAAACCAAAUGAUGAUAACAUCGAUUCAGUUAUCCAUUUUGUGACAUCCUGAUUUGAUUGCAUAAGCAAACUUCAAUAUUAUUCUUUGAAUUUGAGCUAUGAAUGUUGGCCCAAAAUAAUUAAUCACGUAAAUUAUGAUGCAUGGCCCAUGAGUUGCUACAGAUGAGGGACUUGUAUGCAUGGAUAUUAAGGGUCUGUUUGGCUCCCCCGCUAAAGUUCAGCACCUGUCAUAUCGGAUGUUUGGAUACUAAUUAGGAGUAUUAAACAUAGGCUAAUUACAAAACUAAUUGUACAGAUAGAGUGUAUUCGCGAGACGAAUCUAUUAAGCCUAAUUAGUCCAUGAUUUGAUAAUGUGGUGCUACAGUAACCAUUUGCUAAUGAUGGAUUAAUUAGCCUUAAUAGAUUCGCCUUGCGAAUUAGUCUAGGGGUUUUGGAAUUAGUUUUAUAAUUAGCUCAUGUUUAGUCCUCCUAAUUAGCAUCCGAACAUCCGAUGUGACACUACUAAAGUUUAGCAGCUAGUAUCCAAACACCCCGUAAAGAUUCUGGUUGCAAUACUAGACUAAGCCUGAAGAACAAUACAACGACCUCAUUAGCACAACAGUAUUUGUCCAUGUGUUCCACCAGAUGGUCAGGAUACUCUUUCUUUACUGGCUCCGACAAGAUCAGCUAGCAUGAGGGGGGCAUGUAAUCUGUAACAGGUUGUUAAGCUGUGAGAAAUAUUCAGAGUGUAGCAGAAGGCAAUAAACAUAACAAACUUGAACUUCAAAUAGCUGCGGAACCUCAAAUGUCUGCUUCAGCAGGAACACGUCAUCCUAAAAAGCAACGACACGAGAAAGGGCUACUUUUUGUUACUGCCACGUGUCACUUAAUUUUUGUCCGCGCCACCAUGUGAUAUUGGUCACGGUAUUGCAUGUGGCGUGACUCAUCAAUUAGUCACGCCACGCAGCUCGGCGUGACAAAAAGGCUACUUCUUGGGAAAUAUAUAUCAGGAGGAGUUAUUUAUAAAAAUUUAGAUUUAAAAGGGUUAAAAUUAAAAAAAAUUGUUUAUAGUUAUGAUGACAUCGAUCCGUGAUAUUGCGAUGAAUAAUCAAAGUAAAUAAUCAAAGAUGGAAGAUGCUUCGCUGAUGUUUCGCAGUGGAAAAAGAAUUUUUUUAGAGUAUAAUAGAAUAGAGAAAAGAAGAUAACAUAAUAAUGAAUCUUUUGCAUGUUGAACUACUGGCUACAUUAUGACAAUGGUCGUAAUAUUGUUUGGAUAAGCUGUGGUACUAAAAUACUUUUUUCACAAAUUGAAUAAAUAUGGUAAUAGGCAGAAGGACGAAACUGACAUGUACAAAUAGAAAUUAGUUAAGCAUCUACGUUAAGCUAUAAGAUAGUUUUCUUUCAUCUAAUACAAUCUAUGCAUGCUAGUUCUAGUAGAGUCAUGUUCUUUAUUUUGGGAGAAGAUUACAUCUAUAUUUUCUUUAAUUUAGUUUUAGGGCUAAACAUGCAAAAGAUGCAUGCACGGGGAAAAAUGCAGGAAAGAUAAUACGUAUACAGUGCACGGUAGUGAAAUUUGUAAAUUAACAGACAAACCUGAUAUCUCUAUUUGAUGACACACUAAAAAAAGUGUGGAAGAAGUCCAGCAAAAAUAACAUCUGGCAGAAGUUGUUAUAUAGACGCAAUCAGGUAAAUUUUGAUGUAUUAGAAAAAAAGAAAAACUAAUAAGAUUUUGCAUCAGUGAACAAUCUUGCAGCAGACAAUCGAAUGGUGGUAUCUAAGAAACAAACAUGACUGCAUGCGUGAGAAAAAAGUCGCAGCAAAAAUAAGAAUAAUGACGUACAAAUAUCAGUGUAUUAUUAUAUUGUUUCUUUCAUGCGCAAAUAUGACUCACAUCUGACAUCUUAUAUUUCGUAUGCACUACUACCAUGUAGGAGUUACUGUAUACUGAUCCAUAAGAGUCCUUUUUUUGUUGGCUGCAUGAUCUCCCACGGCUUUGAUACCACCAACUCCAACGUUUCGACACAACUUUCGGUGGUUCAAUUCUACACAUUCUGAUUUGAAUAGGCCGAAUUCAAUUCCUUGACAGGACUGUUCAUGACUUGACGUAAUGUUUCCCAUCUGAAUUGUCGGUAAAAAGUUAUUGAUCUAUGGACGGAUGCAUGGGAAUCAGAAUCACAUGCGAGGAGUAUUCCCGAUGGUUGAGGAUAACACUACCACCUUGAAUGUUUGAUACUAAUUAGAAGUAUUAAAUAUAGUCUAAUUAUAAAACUAAUUGCACAGAUGGAGUUUCAUUCACGAGACAAAUCUAUUAAACCUAAUUAGUUCAUGAUUUGACAAUAUAGUGCUAAAGUAACCAUUUGCUAAUGAUAGAUUAAUUAGCUUUAAUAGAUUUGUCUCGCAAAUUAGAAUUCAUAUGUGCAAUUAAUUUUAUAAUUAGCUCAUAUUUAAUCUUCCUAAUUAGCAUCGAACAUCCGAUGUGAUCCUACUAACUCAAGAGGAUGAUCGAAUUACAACAUGUUUAGUUCAUCCUUGAUUACUACAGCUACAAAGAUGAUUACCUCUAUGAGAGCAAUGAAGCAACUCCAACUGGACUACAGAGUCCCGCUUCCUUGUAGAUACUCCCAACCUUUUUAUUUAUAAGACGCAUACGUGUAUCAAGAUUCAAACUUUGCAAUAUUUGAUAAGAAUUUGACUAUUAAUUUUUUAUUUUUAAAAUGUAAACUUUAUAUGGUUGGAUUCGUAUCAAAUAUAUUCUACAAUGAUUACAAGUUUAUAAACACAAAUAAUAUAAUAUAAGAUAAAUAAAUGGUGAAAGUGUUAUUUGAAAAAUCGUACCACGUCAUACCACAUCAUACCAUAUUUUUAUAGACAUAUAUGGAGGGAGUAAGCACUUCCUUACUAAUCUUCUUGGCAUGAUCUUGUGGCGGGUGAUCUGCUGCUCACCGUGUCAUACAUCAUCUGUGGCGUGACCUCACAAAUGUGAUAUCGAUUGCUGGCCAGCCGGCCAGCCGCGUGCUCGAUCGGAUCCAUCAUGCUGCCACGAGAAUAUGUAGAGAUUUAGAGUUUCACUGCCAUUGGAUCUUGUAUGUAUACAAACAAUAAUUACAUUCCUACUAGAAUCUUGUGCUGCCAUGUUUAGUAUCACCGGUACCCUUUUCCUAUUACUUGAAGGUUUCAACGGCCUGCUAUGAAUAGCAUUGAGUUACCUUUUUCCUCGUGUCAAUAAUCAUUCUUGACAAAGAACGGUCGAAGGAUAGGUACAUCAAGUUGCCUUUUACUUCUUUUCAAACGUUCUGGAGAAAACAACAUGGAAAGGAUCAGAUGAACUCUGAUUUUGGAAAGGGAGGACGUGGACGGAUUGGUCCCAAAGGAGUCUAUGAUUUUUGUGUGUUUGUUUUUCCGUAUAUUCCUACUACAAUCUUGUGCUGCCAUGUUUAGGACCACCGGUACCCUUUUUCUUACGUGAAGGAUUCUACAGCCUGCUACAGAAUAGCAUCGAGUUACCUUUUUCCUUUUGUCAAUAAUCAUUCUUGACAAAGGGGGUGUUUGGAUCUUUAGGAUCUCCUAAAAUUUAUGUCACAUCGAAUAUUCGGAGGCUAAUUAGGAGGACUAAAUAUAAGCUAAUUAUAAAACUAAUUACACAGAUGGAGGCUAAUUCACAAGACGAAUCUAUUAAGCCUAAUUAAUCCAUCAUUAGCACAUGUUUACUGUAGCAUCACAUUGUCAAAUCAUGAACUAAUUAGGCUUAAUAGAUUCGUCUCGUGAAUUAGUCUCCAUCUGUGCAAUUAGUUUUGUAAUUAGUCUAUAUUUAAUGCUCCUAAUUAGUAUCUAAACAUUCGAUGUGACAGAAAUUUUAGGAGGGACUAAAGAAACAAACACCCCCAAAGAACGGUCGAAGGAUAGGUACAUCAAGUUGCCUCUUACUUCUUUUCAAACGUUCUGGAGAAAACAACACAGAAAGGAUCAGAUGAACUCUGAUUUUGGAAAGGGAGGACGUGGACGGAUAUCGGAUAGGUCCCAAAGGAGUCUAUGAUUUUUGUGUCAGUAGACCUGCAGGCAGCACCUUUUGUAUCCCCCAAGCUCAAGCUGCGAAACCGGCAGCCUCGCCCAAAGCAACCACUCGCUAGCACACGGCAGAAACAAAGUUAACAAAACGAACAGCCUAUCUGCUACGUAUAAAUACUAAGAGCCCACGAGGCAAAACCAUGCUCCUUUUUUGCAAUCUUUCCCUUUGUAUUAUUGUCCCGUUCUUGGUUCCGUCCUCCUGCGUCCAAAUAGCGAGCACCACUACGGAAAGCGUUGCGCAACCGGUAUUGCUAGUUUGCAUUACUAGGGAAAACGUCAUUAGUACCGCUUUCGCAACUAGUACUGGUAGUUCGGUAGUAAAGGGGAGGUCUUUAGUAACGGUUAAGAUAACUGGUAUUAAAAGGUAUUAAUUUUUUUUUGAAAAAAGAAUCCCCCGCAGGCCCCGCCGCCCCCCUGCCCCGUGCCGCCCUCCGCCGGCCCGCCUCCGCCAGCCUUGCCGCCCUCCUCCGGCGUAGGGAUACGAGGUAGGCUACACUAGCGCAAAUCAAAAUUUCUACCGCGUAAAACCAGGAAGAACUGCCAUAUAAGGAUCACGGGAUUACCACUCGACGCACUACUGGUGCGGAAGAUGUAGAUUUGCGUCGAUGCAGUGAAGACGAUCAACGUAGUCAUACGUAGUCGAUCAACGUAGUCGUACGUAGUCGAUCACGUCAACAUCCAGCAGCUCCUCAGCAGCUCGUCCACGUGUAGCAAGAUCGCCCUCGUGCCACGGCUCGUCGUCGGCUCGUCGUGGCUCGUCGGCGGCUCGUCCAAGUGCUGCAGGCGCAACACCUCCAAGGUAUCCACACGUGCAGGGAGGAAGCAUCGAAAGCCGGACUGCUAGAUCCGUGAGUUGCAACAGGCGAGGGCGUGGGAGGCGCGGCAGAUGUGUUUCGCCAAAAAGGUGUAAACCCUAGGGCGCCCCCACCCCUCUAUUUAUAGAGGUUCCUGACGGGCCUCUGGGUCCGAGGCCCAUUAGUACUUCUAAACCUAAUCCAACUCGGAUCAGAUCCGAAUUGGGCUUCCAGCCCCUUAAGUGUGUGACCCUAUGGGUUCGGAUACGUAUAGACAUGGCCCGAGUACUCCUACUCGGCCCAAUAGUCGGUAGCGGCCUCUAGCAAGACGUGCCAACUCCUAUACGCACACGAAGAUCAUAUCAGACGAACCAUCACAACAUAAUAUACAUGCUAUUCCCUUUGCCUCACGAUAUUUGGUCUAGCUUCAAGCCGAACGCUCUUUCUCGAUCCUGUGAUUCGGAAUCCCUUUGUAGGUUAACUCUUAACCGUACGUAGCAUGGCCAUGCAUUUUCGGAUCCGAUCACUCGAGGGGCCCAGAGAUAUCACUCUCAAUCAGAGAGGGGCAAAUCCCAUCUUGAUUGACCAUGUCUCAUAGCAUGCUUCUUGACAAACCCGAAAGCUACCUUUAUAACUACCCUGUUACGGCGUAGCGUUUGAUAGCCCCUAAGUAGGUCGAUCCACAUCUUGAAUACAUGCGACAAUCUCAGGUCUAAGGACAAAGCGUAUAUGUUGUUUAAAGAGAGAACUACUUGUCGUGUUGGGUCAGUCCUAGCACAUGUCUCCACAUGUGUCCACAUUAUUAGUUCAACAUCUCCAUGUCCAUGACUUGUGAAACAUAGUCAUCAACUAAUACAUGUGCUAGUCUAAUAUUCAUGUGUGUCCUCACAUGAACUCCGACUAGGGACAACUUUAGAAUAACCAUACAAGUAAAGAGUUUCACAUACAAUUCACAUAAUUGCAAAUCAAUUCAAGUAGCCUUUAAUGGAUAUUCAAUGAACACAAUAUACAAAUCAUGGAUACAAAUGGAAUAUCAUCAUCUCUAUGAUUGCCUCUAGGGCAUACCUCCAACAUUCGGCACCCCCGCCUCCACCCCCAUCGCAGCCCUCCGCCCAGCCCCGUCACCCUCAAAUGCACGCCCGCCACUGCUCCUGCCUCCACCCUCCCGCGGCCCUCCGCCACCCGCCCCCGCCUCGUCGGGCCCUUCAAGAAGGCGCUCGAGGGCUUCACCCACCUGCUUGUCGCCGUCCAAAAGUUCUCAAAGUGGAUCGAGGCACGACCGGUUGCGAAGAUCAAGUUCGAGCAGGCGGUACAAUUCUUCACCGACAUCAUCCAUCGCUUCGAAGUCCCGAACUCCAUCAUCACGGACAACAGCACGCAGUUCACCGGGAAGAAGUUCCUCAAGUUCUGCGACAACCACCACAUCCGAGUGGACUGGUCAGCUGUAGCGCAUCCCCUCAUGCAUGGACAGGUCGAGCGGGCCAACGGCAUGAUACUUCAGGGUCUCAAGCCGCGGAUCUUCGACCGCCUCAACAAGUUCGGCGGCCGGUGGGUUGCGGAGCUCCCCGCAGUCCUAUAGAGUCUGAGGACGACCCCCAGCAGGGCAACUGGCUUCACCUCGUUCUUCAUGAUCUACGGGUCUGAGGCAAUCCUCCCCACCGACCUGGAGUAUGGGUCGCCAAGGGUCAGGGCGUAUGACGAACGAGGGAACCAAGCAUCUCUCGAGGACGCGCAAGACCAGCUCGACGAAGUGCGCGACAUGGCCUUGCUGCACUCGGCCAAGUACUAGCAAGCUUUGCGACGGUAUCACAGUCGUAAGAUACGGGGCCAAGCCUUCAAUGUCGGCGACCUAGUGCUUUGCCUCGUCCAAGACAAAAGAGGUCGGCACAAGCUGACCCCUCCAUGGGAAGGUCCUUUCAUCAUCAUGCAAGUACUGCGGCCGGGCACGUACAAGCUGGCGACCCCCGACGGGCAGGUCUUCACCAAUGCUUGGAACAUCGAGCAGCUAAGACGUUUCUACCCUUAGCUAUUUUUUUCAAGUUUGUACAUACACACUUUUGUUAUCUUUUAGUUUGUGAAAAAGGAGCGGGUUUGAGUUGCCUUCGCUAGAGUUUGUCCCAUGCUUAGGGAUAUUUGAGCCUGGCUCUGCCCCAGGGUCGCACAUCCCUCGGGGGCUAUCAGGGGCUCCGACCCAAGACACUUGGCUUCUUCUCAAAACACCAUUUCCCCAAACCGACCCUCUUCCUAAACAUUUGGGUGUGAAAAGAAAAGAGUGCGCGAACGAUGCUCGGACAAGACCGAUUGGACCACCAGAAACCCACGCCCCAAUAGCUACGGUGCCUUUGCUCAUCGGCGCUUCCUGACACAACCGACUCGCACUCUGAUCUUUCCAAACCCAAAAAACAGGAAGAGGAUCGAAAACUUUUUCGAAAAUUACACAAAUAGAAAGUCCUCUGCGGCCAUCGCAGAAGCAAGUUCAAAGUUAAUUAACAUAUUUACACAUUCUUGGGCAUCUGGGCCCGAUACAGCUAACUCGUCCCCGGGUCCUCCGGCGGGAUGGGCUCAUCCUCCAGGAGCUUCGCCAAGGCCUCCGCUGGAUCGAGCACCGACGCGUCGAUCUUGUCCAGCUCGGCCUCGGAGUAGCCGGAGGCAUACCCCCCGCUCAUCGCGGCGAAGUUGAUGCCGGAGUAGUGGGAGCCGAAGACGCCAAAGGCCGGCCUCACGUCGACGUGGAGCGCCUCCCGAGCGAUCUCACGAGCCCGCCGGUACGCCUCGAGGACACGAGCCGCCAGCGUGCUCGUCCCUUCCACUUGGACCACGCCAAGGUCCUCGCAGACGAUGUGAACGGCGUCCCACAGGUUGGCGUGCUCGAUGUGCUCCGCAUAAGCGGCGUCCCUCAGACGGGCGAGGUCGGCCUCAAGACCUACCCAGAAAAGCCUGCCAAGUCAUAGACCAGCGCAACGCUGCACGUAAGAAGACAACGAAAGCCUUACCCUCAGAUUGAGCCUUCAGCAGACACUCCCGGUCGAGCCCUUGGGACACAGCGGUCUGAAGCCCCUGCAUCUGUGAGUGGAGGUGACUGACCUCUGCCCCCAAGGUCGGCUGCCAUCCUCUCAGCCUCAAUCUUCUGACCUGCCUCGAGGUCGCGCUCCUACCGAGCCGCGUGCCGCUCGUGCCGGAUACGCUCAACGGUUUUCUGAAGGGCCUCAUGCUCCUUCCUCAACCGUGCAAGAUCCUCGGCAUCGUGGCGGGCCUCCUCGGCAACAGCCUGGAACUCCUCGGCAUCAAGCCGGGCCUUCUUGAUGACGGCCCUGAACUUGUCCUCUGCCCAUCGUGCGCCUUCCCACGUCUCCUGCUCGUGCACUCGCAGGUCAGCAACAUUUUGCUGGGCGGCUGCGAGCUGCCCGGUAAGCUCCUCGGUCCACCGCGUCUCUGCGGCAAAGCGCUCCCAGACCCCCCGCUCACUCCGGAGGAACUCGGACUUCCCCCGGCUGCAUUCCUAGAGGGCCUGCAAGAUGAUUUACACUCAGGAACCGUCGGGAGAAAAGAGGGACGGAGAAAUGAGAGAGAAAUAACCACCAAGAGAACACCGCACCUGACCGCCGGGAACAACAACGCCAUCCAGCUUCCCCAUCGCGAAAGAUAGGGCAGCAUGGACGUGUUCAUGUCCGCCCUGCACCUCCUGCCACCUUUUUCGCUCCCCGACAUUGUCCAGCAUGAAGCGGGGCCUCAAGGGACAUCCAGUGCAUGGUCGGCCCUCCCCACGCAUUAGGGUCGUGACCAAGCUGGACGAGGGCAUGGGAGGACUCUCUGGCCUGCUCCGACACCGCCGUUCCUCGUUGUCGCUGCCAAGGCGGGCACCACCUUCUCCGCCGGCGCUGCCGUCCUCGUCGUCACCGUCGAGGCGGGCGCCACCUUCUCCGCCGGCGUCACUGUCCUUGUCGUCAUCGCCGAGGCGGGUGCCACCUUCUCUGCUGCCAUCGCCGUCCUCGACAUUGCCGCCAAGGCGGGCGCCACCGUCUCCGCCGCCACCACUGAGGCAGGCGCCACUGUCCCCGUCGUCGCCACCGAGGUAGGCGUCACCGUCUCUGCCUCCGCUGCCGUCCCCGUCGUCGCCGCCGGCGUAGGCGCCACCAACUCUACCACCGCCGCCGUCUCCACCACUGUCGCCGCCGCCCCCGCGGAUGGGGCCUCGAACCCUGAUGCCUCCCCCACCAGCUCCUCCUCCUCGUCGUCAAGGUUUAUCACCUUGCCGGGUGGAGGAACCCCAGGGGUAGCGUCCUUUCCCGCAGGGUCGGCUGCGGAGGCAGAAGGUGGAACAGGGGUCGGCCCCUGCACCAUGCCCAACUGCGGUACCCUUUCUCCAGCCGCCACCGCAGAGGCCGCCACCGCAGGAGGCACCGCGGCCUCUCCAACGACACCACUGCUCAUUCCCGACGGGGCCACGGCUGGCCCCGUGGAGGCGGUCGACACCCGGAGCGCCUUCUCCAGCGCCAGCGGCGGGACGAAGUCUCGGGGAGCAGCGCUGCAAGACGACGAAAACUUCAUCAAAGGCUUCUCGAUGCCAGGAAAGGAAUAAGGUAUGUGAGAACUUUCCACUUACCUCACCAUGGCAUGAGGGUGACGAGCGCGCUUCGGCUCCGAGCUCGACGCUGACCCCGGGACAUCGGACAGCGGCCGCUUGCCGUUACUCCUCUGCUCGCGCGAUGCAGGCAGAGGGAAAGGGGUCGGCUCCGUCGAUCCCUGAGGCAAGCCCCGCGUCAACCCCUGGGGCGCGGCCACCGAGCCCCACGGAGCCGGGCCCUGGGCGGGCGGUCCGCUCGACCUGCCCCACGUGGCCGAUUGAGGGGGCUGGUCCCUGAUGACAAGCACACCCGGCGCGGGGGCCAGGACAUACUCCUCCUCCUCCUCCUUGGUCUUGUCUUCCUCCUCAUCCUCACGUCAUCGUCGUCCGACACGACUAUGUCCCUCUGCCACCAUUGGAACUCUUUCAUGGCCCUUUUCCUCUUCCUCGCUGUGUCUUUGUCCUUCCUCCUCUUCUGCUUUUCGGCGAGGAGGCGGUUCUGCCGUCGCCGUUCUGCGUCCUUUGGCACCGGUGGGCACGAGGCUACGAUCUGGGUCAGAUUGCCCUAUAGAUACAAAGACUACGCAUCAGGAUGAUAGACCAGGAAAUGCAGGAAAGUUGAACGAGAGUAAGAAAUUCUCACCAGCGGGACAAAGUCCUCGUCCGGGUGCAUCGGAGGGUGACCGGGCACCGGGUAGAUGACGUCCCUGUCAUCCAGCGCCUCCCGGACGCACUGCUCGAUCUCGGCGUUGGCAAGCACACCCGUCGCAAGGAUGGUGCCCUCGGUCGGCACGCCACCAUCCGAGUGUGGUACACCCCGAUAACUCCGGCCCCCGGUAAUGCCCUUCACUUUCAGGCGGUCGAUGGCCUGAAGAAGAACGGGGAUAUACUUCUUCUCCUUCUCGACCGGACCAUAAGACUAGUGGUCCGGCGUCGCCGUAAUGACACGGUCAGUGAACUUCGGCAAAGGGGACUCGGGGUAGUUCUUCACAUAGAACCACUGCUGGUGCCACCCCUUGUGGGAUGCCGCAGUCUUCAUCGCCAUGUACUCCUUGACGCGGUUCUGGAGGAGGUGGAUGCUAGCGCACCCCAUUGGCACCGGAACAGCCCGCACCUGGAUCCCCUUCUUCUCGACCUUCUGAUACAGGCUUUCCAUGAAGAAGUACUUCUAGAGCGAGAAGUUGGGCUCGAUUCCCAAGUACCCCUCGCACAGCGCGACGGAUGCUACGAUGUGCUGGAUCCCGUUGGGGUUGAGGUGCUGCAGCUCAAGCCCGUAGUGGUGCAGCAGCCCGCGGAAGAAGAGGCUCGACGGAGUCGUGAACCCUUUCUCAUGGAAGUGCGCGAAUGAGAUGAUGUAGCCAUCAUCCAGCUGCGGCGCAUCUUCCCUCCUGGGGAACCGCCACUCGUCCUUGGCGGUCCUCUCGCAAAGGAGGCCCUUCUUCAUGAGGCCGUUGGCGCGCGAGGUGCUGAAGUUCGAGCGCAUCCAGGACUCCAUCGCUGAGGAGAUGGAAGGCUCGACGGCGGGGGAUGGAGAAAGCUGCUGCGCUGGGGCGAGGGGAGGCGAAAAGUGCACAAGAAAGCAAGGAAGGCUAGAGGACAAGUGCGGGCAGAACCAGCAAGGCGGACUCCCUCAUCUUAUAGGGGGGCACGUGGGAAGCGAAAGGGGCAAUCCAAUCGCAGUUAUUGGGAUGCCAGGUACGCCAAUCACCCUGCAUUUUUUGGGAAACCGCACGCACGAUCUGCUGCAGGGAACGUCUCUCACUCCAUUGUUUCGCGGGCCCAGUACUCUCUGCCACUUCGCCUUCCAGAGAGCGCACGCGUGUGACCUCCCCCACGUCCCGCCCGGGGCCCACCAACAGGUAAAAAAGGGAUACAGAGCUGAAAACGCUCCUACGGCCCAUUACGCUCCAGGGGUUUGAAGGCUGGCCCACUAUGGGGUUCGACAGUCGCCCCAGGAUUCCCUCGAGCAAGGGGGUGAGAAGGGACGGGUCCGCUAGCGGCCAACACCCAGGUGAGCGAAAGCUAAGGGCGUCCCGACCUCAUGUUUGAGUCCGGACUAGCAUCAAAGUUCAUGGUUUUUCCCUGAAGAAAGGCAACGAGCCCCCAGAUCCAGUCGAACGGACUCGAGAACUAUAUGAACUGGCCAGCCGGAACCUGGGGAAUGCCACCAGCUUGGCCCGAGCCGGACCCCCCCGAACGGGGAUUGGGAUUCCACUUGAACUGACCCAUUCGCAGCUCAAUGAGCACCACGGUUCAUCCAACGAGGAUAGCGUGGCACGGCUCACCCCCUCCGUCCCAGCAAAUGGACGCUUGAGGUAGCGAUCAAAAGUCGAUCUAGCCUCUCGAUUGGUCUCCUACAACGUGCGGGGGCUCAGGGGCUGGCAUCGUAUCCAAUGACCACGGGUGUGGUCGCAAUUCGGAGUCUUGGAGCAGGAGUGGUCGGCGAAAUGAUAGGGAAUCCUCCCGCGCCUAGCCAUCCUCAGAACACCCUGCCUAACCAAACUACCCGGCCAAGCAGAACGAGCGGAACUUUUUCUCCCUGAUCAAAUGCAAGUUGCAGGACAAACAAGGAUCCCCAACGAACGACGAAUGCAGCCUCUGGAGGAGCAUCUUUUGCUCCACCAAAGGCUCGAGGGCUACUGUUGGGGGAAAAUAUUAACGACCUUCUUAUGAUCGUUAAACAACGGUCAUAGGGGCCCGAGCCCACCUGCGGCGACAGUGACCUUCGCCGACUCGGCAUGGACAGGGAGUAUUCCACUUCGCCUUGCCCGACCCAUGGUCCCAGGGUCAGAUACGCCUGACCCCUCGUUGCAAGGCUCCACCUCGCCCGACCCACGGUCCUAGGGUCCGAUACGCCCGACCCCUCGCCGCAAGGCUCCGCCUCGUUCGACCCACGAUCCUAGGGUCCGAUACGCCCGCCCCCUCGCCACAAGGCUCCACCUCACCCGACCCCGGGCGCAGGGGGUCGGACGCAUCCGGGCCCACCAGACAGGGCUUCGCCUCGCUCGAGGGUGGGCACAGAUUAGCAGACAUGAGCGCAGGUCUCAUGGGCCCCCACCAACCUCACCAUAAAUGCGAUACGGCUCUGGCGCGCAGAAAGGCGCCCGCGCUCCUUGACAUGACCCGCCAUAGUAUUCGGGCGGUACACUGUAGCCACAACCGCACAGGCUACAGCGGCACCGUCCUAAUCCGCUGCCUCCCCUGCUCGUAGUAGGGCAUUCAUUACCCACACCCCUAGCACAGGAGGGAGCGCCGCCCGGUUUUGUGCUCGGACCAGCGGCAGAGACAUGUUGGCCGCGCUGCCCGAUCAGCACGCGGGGCUACAGAGGUCAGCCGUUCUCCACGACACGCAUAGCUGCGGUAGCCGGACAUCAUCAUCACCAUGCAUGGCUAUAGCGGUCGGACGCCACACACAUCUCGCACGCUCGGCCACGAUGGUCAACCGGAGGGUCGCUGACAGGGCCCAACGAUAGCCACCCCCCUCCGGCGGUCAUGCUGAUGGGAGACAAAGAUCGAAAGGGAAGGCGGUGACCCCGGGGACUCGGUCCUUCCCCUUGUGCUUUACUCUACUUUACUUGCUUAUCUAUUUUACUUCUCUUAGCUCCUGGCUCAACUGUAACUCCCGUCUCUUCCAUGUGCUAUAAAAGGAAGACUGGGGGAACCGAGCAGAGGAAGAGUCUCAAGCCAACAGAACUCACACCCUCUCCUCAUGAGCAUUAGUGCACACCCUACUACAGAUCUGCACGAGUAACACGAGCUGCCUCCCACACUAGACGUAGGGCUAUUCCUGCCUGAACCAGUCUAAAUCUCGUGUCGUCUCAUGCAACCAUACGGGCCUUACACGCAUAGAAACAAAUUCACUUGCCGUAGUCUUGACUCGUAAUUCUUGACAACGACACCAUGUAUGAACUCACAUACAUAGUAUCCUCAUAAAUUAUUCCCUAAAUUCUGUCUCAAACACUAUAUACAUGGUACUCCAAUGGCACAUUUAUAAUGUCUUCCCCACAAAAAUAAUGUUGAUCUCCAAUCUAAACUUCGAGCAUGAUUAAACCAUUGGCUGAAGCCUCCAUGUACUAUUGGUGUAAUUUGUACAUCUUCGUUGGAAGACGGUCCACCAAAUGCGACCACACAAGGGGUUUCCCAAACUCAUAUUUCCAUUUAGCAGCCCCAGGGUGAUUUGGGACGUGAUCCUCCCCUCGAAGUUAAGCUGGGGUGAGAUUUGUAUCUUUGACGAAUUGAAGCAGGUUCUGAUCAAACUCUAAAAGCACCUGGAGUGGGGCAAUCAAUUGGUUGGAUUGGGUUCCGAGUUAUGGAAUACUUGACCCACUUUUCUUCUUCUUCUGAGAAGCCUUUGUUAUUUGUUGGUCGAAGUCAGAUAGCAGUGGUUUCUUUACUUUUUUCUUCAUGCUUCUAAUGAAAGCCCAAAGUUUAACCCUAACAAGUGGUGGAUCUUUCUUCAUGGGAGGCUUUGGUGUGAAGUGAGCUUUAGCCUCAGCAUCCACUACUGUGUGGAGUUUCGCAUCAGACAUAUCACAAGGUUUCUUGGGCUCUGGUUGCUUCUACUUCUACUUAUUCUACUUCUUCGUAGCUGUAGUAGGUGGAACUGAAGGCAUCUUUCGCCGUGUAGCCUUGCUCAUAGCAGGGGGAGGUGGACUCAUGAUAGGAGCCCUAUCAGCUGGUGGACUCAUGCUAGGAUCCCUGUCUGGUAGUGGAGAGGGUGCCUUGGCAGAUGGCGUAGGUUAUCUUACCAUUGAGCCUUGAGGAGAUGAUCCCAAGGUCGGGGGAUUCGGCUGCAUAAUCCUUAUGUAGCGCUUGGGCCAUAGAAUCCAACCAUGGAUGGCUUCUCCUAGAUUUUUUUCCCUGUCACCUCCAGGGAUCUCCAGUUCCAGGUCAUCCCAACUGUCGACCACUCAGUCCACCCCAACUUUGGCAUAACUGCAAGCUGGAAUCUCAUAUGAAUUGUUUGGCCUUGUGUUGGUUGUUUAGCCACACCAUCUCCCAGUGAUAUCGUCCAUGGGGUGGCAUUGGUUGUACUCAAAUAUGUCAGAAGAUCCUCCAGCUGGGGCUUUCGUGGAAGCGACGCUGAGAGGGGCUUAUGUCGACAUUAGCCCCUGAUGCUACAGCUGCUUGUUCACUGGCUUGUUUGCUAAGAGCUAGAGCCACAUGCCAGUCAAUUAUUUCCUCCAUUCUUGCCUCUGUCAAAGCUACGUGUUCUUGCAAAUCUUGCAACUGUUGUGCGUGUUCAGCCUUACUUCUUUUGUGACUUCUGUAUGAAUCAAUGUGCUUAUGAAAGGCAAACUUUCAUGGAAUUACUCCUUUGCCUAGGGAACAUCUAGGGUGUUCUGGAUUACCUAGUGCCAUAGUUAGCUCAUCCUUUUCUUGAUCAGGUACGAACGAUCCUUCGGCCAUUGCCUUUAUUAACUCAUCAAGCCUCGUAGCUCCUCCUCUUAAUUCUUGGCCAAACACAAAUGAUUCAUCUACGGGAUUGAGCGUGCCACCAUGAGCAUAAUACCAAUUCUUUGCUCGCUCUAGCUAUUCAAGAGUCUGCGGUACUAUUCCCCUAGCAAUUAUGUCAUCUUCCAUUAUCUACCAUUUCAUGAUCCCCUUCUUGUAACCUCCUGGUCCAAGACGAUGAAAGUAUUUCUUCUUCUGAGCAUUGUCGGUGUUGGUUUUAGUUGCCUUAACGCUCGUUUGUGACUGCUUGAACUGCACAAAUGAAUCCCAGUGAUCUCUUAACUUCGGAUGUUUCGUGAAAUUUGGUGUAAGCCCCUUCUUUAUGUAGUCUUUGUUUAGUUUUUGAUUGUACGUCUGAAAAGCAAUUGCACCCUUCUUGAAGCUCCAAUCUUUCACUUUUGCUUUAUCUACACCUUCCAACGUGAAAUUUUCUUUUAUCUGAUCCCAUAUCAUUUCCUUCUCUCACUCAGGGACCACAUUUAUGGGAACCAUGCUUGCGGAAGCAAUGUUAUCAUCGAUUUCAGGGCUUUUCUAAUUUUGAAAGCUUAUUGGCAUGUUAUAUCUAACAAGAAACCCAAUUUGAUUCACCAAUUUGGUCUUAUCAUUGUCUGGAGCAAUUGGUUCACUAUCUCCAUCAAUUUCCGUGAUGAUUAUAUGGCCCUGUAACUUCUUCUUCUUGCCUCAUUUCCGUUUAGGCCUGCUGCUCGAUCUAGAUGGCUGAAAAAUGAAAAAACUAUUAAUUCCCAAGAAUCUUGAUAAGUAGAGAAUUCAUAUCAUGAUUACAUAUAAUAAUUGUUAUACCUCGCCUCGUUGCCCAUCAUUGCCUUCCUCGGCAAUUGGUUGCUCCUCAUUGCCAUCACUAAACAUGUGAGGUAGAUUGUAAUAUUCCAAAAUUUGAAAUAUUAAUUUGAGUGAAAUUUUCAAAAAUUUAAAACUUUGUUUGAAUUGUGUGCUUAUUUGAAAAAUAAAAAUAAAAUGCUAGUAUUUAAAUCCCAAUCUUAAAUUCAAACUUGUGUGCAUUGAAUUUGGAUCUUCAUGGAUUUUAUUUGGAUCUCAAAUAUGAGUGUGUUUGAACUUUGAAUGAAAUACAAAUAAAAACAGAAAACAAACUAACGUAAACUAACUUACCAGGCCAACCACAACCCACCAGCUUGGUCUGCAAACACCUUCCCACACCUGCAUGCGGCCAAGCUGCAAAGCGGCUCAGCUGCUAGCCGACCUAGCCAUCCCAACUGGCCUGCCCGAACGCCGCUGCACCCCCUCUCUUCUUUCUCUCACCACCAGGGAGACCCCACCAAAUAGCUAGCACUAUGCCGCUUUCUUCCUCCUCCGCAACACACACUCGGUGCGUGAGCGCUCGCCGGCCAUGCUAGAGCACACUACCGCACCAGCGCACCUAAAACCCUAGCGCGGAGCCGUUCGAUGGCCGCCACGCCAUGCUGGGCACGCUCACCAAGAAUCAGUGGCGCACGGCAAUGGCCGCAGGCUAUAAAUAGACCUGCCUAGCGCCCUCGUCUGCUCAUCCCAAGCUUGGUGCUUCUCCCCAUCACCGCCGCUAGAGAGGGAAGGAAGGAAAGCAGAGAGGAGGAGAAGGGAGAAGGGGGAAGAGGAUAAGGGUAAGGAGGAGAAGGGAAGGAGGAGAGCAGAGGAGGAGGAGACCGUCACCGAGGAACUGGAGUAGCCGCCGUCGCCGUCACCGAGGAGCCGGAGCUACUGCUGCCGCCGUCAUCGCCGAGAAGCCGAAGUAGAGGAGCCUCAGUGAGCCUCAUCGCCACCAUCUUAACCUUGUCUGCCUGGCCAUCGUGCUGCUACUCUAGCUGUUGUCCGGCCUUCAAGCCGCUGUGGUUGCCGCCGCCACCGCUGUCUGGUGUCGUCAUGCCGUGCCGCGACCUUAGAAUUCCUGGAUGCCUCGCGCAUAGCCUACCGUGCUGUGGUUGGAGUUAUCCCCAUGACUGCAUCGCGCCAACACUCGCAGCCUCGCCUGCUGCCUCGCGUCGCAACCCCACUGCUUGCCACUGCAUCGUGCCGACUCGUGUCGCCGUUUUCCUGCCGCGCGCCGGAUCACGACGCAUCGCGCCGUGUCACGGCGUCGUGGGCGCCGUCACCGCGUGCCCGGCGCCGUGACAUCGCGUGCACCGCCGCUCCGUUGCCGCCCGUCACCGCGCACCGCACGCGGGCCACACGCUCGUGGUGCACGGGAUCUGGCCGGUACACCAGAUCCCGGGGCUGAUCCGAGCGGCCACAUGUGUGCCAAGUGGGUGCCACAUGGUAGAGCCGCGACGGAUAGGGAAGCCAUGUGGAGCCACGUGGCAUGGGCUAGGCCUACUCGUGGGGCCCAUGGGCUGACCAGUGGGACCGAGUUGACCGCUGACCCACCAUGAACGCUGACCAGUCAGCGUUGA